Non-coding RNA from Vicia faba (fava bean), 310 nucleotides. The record is from the annotation of a GenBank genome assembly. Lineage: Eukaryota; Viridiplantae; Streptophyta; Magnoliopsida; Fabales; Fabaceae.
AAAAAAUUCAAAUCUCUCUCGACACUCUCUGAGUUUUUUCUUCACAUCUUCUUCACCAAUCUUCCACCUUCGAGCCCCUGUAUAUUCUCCAUUGAUUACGCACUUCAACCUUCAUCUUCUUCGAAUCUUCAAUUAAUUGCAACCUUAACUGAAUCUCCAUCUGAUUUAUCUCUGACCCUCAUGCAACCACUUCACACACAUCAUCUUCGUCGUUUUGCAUCAAAACAUGUAGCCACAAUAAUAACGCCUAUGAAUUGCAAGACGUCAGUAUUCACACCAACAUACGCAAGAAAAAUUAGAAGAAGAAGAC